GAUGAACGCUGGCGGCGUGCCUAAUACAUGCAAGUCGAGCGAACGGACGAGAAGCUUGCUUCUCUGAUGUUAGCGGCGGACGGGUGAGUAACACGUGGAUAACCUACCUAUAAGACUGGGAUAACUUCGGGAAACCGGAGCUAAUACCGGAUAAUAUUUUGCACCGCAUGGUUCAAAAGUGAAAGACGGUCUUGCUGUCACUUAUAGAUGGAUCCGCGCUGCAUUAGCUAGUUGGUAAGGUAACGGCUUACCAAGGCAACGAUGCCUAGCCGACCUGAGAGGGUGGUCGGCCGCACGGGAACUGAGACACGGUCCAGACUCCUACGGGAGGCAGCAGUAGGGAAUCUUCCGCAAUGGGCGAGAGCCUGACGGAGCAGCGCCACGUGAGUGAUGAAAGUCUUCGGAUCGUAAAACUCUGUUAUUAGGGAAGAACAUAUGUGUAAGUAACUGUGCACAUCUUGACGGUACCUAAUCAGAAAGCCACGGCUAACUACGUG
This 497-nucleotide ribosomal RNA is filed under the name uncultured bacterium. RNAcentral describes it as "partial 16S ribosomal RNA". It matches the Rfam family "Bacterial small subunit ribosomal RNA", at positions 28 to 507 of the family's 1533-position model. The record is from RNAcentral.